Non-coding RNA from Phascolarctos cinereus (koala), 730 nucleotides. The record is from RefSeq and is a predicted model, not a curated record. NCBI's taxonomy places the organism in Eukaryota, Metazoa, Chordata, Mammalia, Diprotodontia, Phascolarctidae.
UAGAGGAAUUUUAGUAGUCCAAGAGCCAAAGAGAAUGUAAACUGGGAGUUGCCUGCAGAACAGAUCCUUGAGGUAAUUGCUGGGUGAGGAAAGAGGAUGGGACUUUUCUUUCCUCCUCCACCCAGCCAUGUAACUUCAAAGGGGAGCUACUAACAGGAGAAACUUCAUCCAGCUGGAAGCAGAGGCACACCUCAGAUAUGCAUAGUUACAAAGAGUUUGACAAAAGAAGAAACUGAAGCCCAGAGAAAUUACAACUUGGUCAAAGUUACAAAUGGAGUUGAACAAGAGCAGGAAUGAGAGUUACAUCAUCUGCCCAAAUAAAUUCUGUAACUAGACUUAGUGCUCUUAUGUGCUCAAUGAAAAUGAGGGGAUCUAGGCUAUGGAGGGCAGGAGAGGUCAGACAGAGGAAGGCAAGAAAGUUUGUCUAUAUCCACUAAGAUUCCCAGGUGACCCCCUAGCCCUUUCAAUUCUUCAUUUCUAUGGCAAAUCUCACUUCACAAAACGCAUGCUUCCAUUUGAUUCCUGCUGUAAAUUCACCAAAAAUUCUAACCUCCAGAAAAACAGGACUCAUAGCCUUUCUUCUACACAACAGCCCAUCAUUUGAAGAAACUUGGAGACAGCUACCAAGUCCUUCCCCCUUCCUGCUCUUAUUCCUUCCAAGCUAAAUAUCUCUUGUUCCUUCAACCAACUCUCAUAUGGAAGAAUCUCAAUGCUCUUUACCAUCUUGGUC